RNAcentral lists this ribosomal RNA (638 nucleotides) under Leptonchus microdens. Its description in RNAcentral is "SSU rRNA". It matches the Rfam family "Eukaryotic small subunit ribosomal RNA", at positions 1003 to 1664 of the family's 1831-position model. Lineage: Eukaryota; Metazoa; Nematoda; Enoplea; Dorylaimida; Leptonchidae. The record is from RNAcentral.
GGCGAUCAGAUACCGCCCUAGUUCUAACCGUAAACGAUGACAACCAGCGAUUAGUCGGCGUUAAUCUACGACCCGACUAGCAGCUUCCGGGAAACCAAAGUUUUUCGUUUCCGGGGGAAGUAUGGUUGCAAAGCUGAAACUUAAAGGAAUUGACGGAAGGGCACCACCAGGAGUGGAGCCUGCGGCUUAAUUUGACUCAACACGGGAAAACUCACCCGGCCCGGACACCGUAAGGAUUGACAGACUGAGAGCUCUUUCUUAAUUCGGUGGGUGGUGGUGCAUGGCCGUUCUUAGUUGGUGGAGCGAUUUGUCUGGUUAAUUCCGAUAACGAACGAGACUCUGGCCUAUUAAAUAGACGGCGUAUCGAAAAGUACGCCGAGCUUCUUAGAGGGACAAGCGGCGUCUAGCCGCAUGAAAUAGAGCAAUAACAGGUCUGUGAUGCCCUUAGAUGUCCGGGGCUGCACGCGCGCUACACUGAAAGAAUCAGCGUGCGAUUCUCGCCUGGUCCGGAAGGAUCGGGUAACCCGAGUAAAUUCUUUCGUGCUUGGGAUAGGGAAUUGCAAUUAUUUCCCUUAAACGAGGAAUUCCCAGUAAGUGCGGGUCAUAAGCUCGCGUUGAUUACGUCCCUGCCCUUUGUA